This 449-nucleotide ribosomal RNA is filed under the name uncultured bacterium. RNAcentral's name for it is "partial 16S ribosomal RNA". It matches the Rfam family "Bacterial small subunit ribosomal RNA", at positions 30 to 523 of the family's 1533-position model. The record is from RNAcentral.
AUUGAACGCUGGCGGCAGGCCUAACACAUGCAAGUCGAACGGAUCCUUCGGGAUUAGUGGCGGACGGGUGAGUAACGCGUGGGAACAUACCCUUUGGUACGGAAUAGCCUCGGGAAACUGGGAGUAAUACCGUAUGUGGUCGAGAGACGAAAGAUUUAUCGCCAAAGGAUUGGCCCGCGUUGGAUUAGGUAGUUGGUGGGGGAAUGGCCUACCAAGCCGACGAUCCAUAGCUGGUUUGAGAGGAUGAUCAGCCACACUGGGAAUGAGACACGGCCCAGACUCCUACGGGAGGCAGCAGUGGGGAAUCUUAGACAAUGGGGGAAACCCUGAUCUAGCCAUGCCGCGUGAUCGAUGAAGGCCUUAGGGUUGUAAAGAUCUUUCAGGUGGGAAGAUAAUGACUGUACCACCAGAAGAAGCCCCGGCUAACUCCGUGCCAGCCGCCGCGGUAA